This 364-nucleotide long non-coding RNA is filed under the name Monodelphis domestica (gray short-tailed opossum). RNAcentral describes it as "lncRNA (ENSMODG00000041461.1)". Lineage: Eukaryota; Metazoa; Chordata; Mammalia; Didelphimorphia; Didelphidae. The record is from RNAcentral.
AUGCAAUUUUCUCUGCCUGUCCAUGUAUUGAGGCUACUGAGAACUAACCACAUGGACCUUGGAUGCUGGGCCUUACUCUUUCUUCCAGAGUCAUUGAACUCCAAUGACAAGACAAAAAUCAACAUGACUGCAGAUGGCCUGGGACACAAGAUACUUUCCACCAAUACAUCAUAUCUUCUUGUCUGGUAUGAUCCUACUCUGUGUUCUCCCAUAAUUCAACAAUCGUGAAGAUACAGUGACAGAAGUGAGGCAGUCCUUAUUCUUGAGGAGCAUACAUUCUAUCAGGGAGUGGCAACAUCUUCACAACUGAGCUAAUACAGGAGUAUCCAAAAUAAAUCUACAAUGAUGGUUGGAGAAUGGAACA